UUACUUUUCCUUAGUGACUUACAAUGACAUUUCAUGCAAAAUAACUUGUCUUUGACGUCAUCCCUUUGCAUAAACUCACAUGGAGUACGGUUUUAACCCUAUUUUUCAACAGAUAUGAAUCCCUGUUGGUUAGUAAAAACAAAUCAUACCUUUGACACUUCUUCCGAGUGACCCACCAUAACAGAUAACAAUUCCAAGUCCCCGGCAACAUUCCAAACUCUUGCCGUGCAAUCAUUACUAGCUGUGGCCAAACGACGGCCGCUACAAUCAAAAGCCACAUCCAAAAUCUCAUCUGUAUGUUCUUUAAUAGAAAACAAAGGCUCCCCAGUUUUCCUUACAUCCCAUAUACAAGCUGUGCUAUCCAAAGAUCCAGUGGCAAUCAGAUCACAGGAAAAAUUCCACACAGCAUUACUAAGUUCAGCCGAAUGUCCACGUAGUUGGGCUAUCAAUCUGCUAGCCGUUCUAUCGAAUGAUCCCGUCAGCAACAUAUUACCAUCUCUACUGAAACGACAAUUGAUAACUUCAGCACCGUGGUGAGCUAAUGUCUGCAACUCCUGUGUCGAUUCUAUGUGAAAGAGGCG
Musca domestica (house fly) is the source of this 581-nucleotide long non-coding RNA. RefSeq lists it as uncharacterized. NCBI's taxonomy places the organism in Eukaryota, Metazoa, Arthropoda, Insecta, Diptera, Muscidae. The transcript is spliced from 3 exons. The record is from RefSeq and is a predicted model, not a curated record.